Molecule: long non-coding RNA, 970 nt
Filed under: Rattus norvegicus (Norway rat)
Lineage: Eukaryota; Metazoa; Chordata; Mammalia; Rodentia; Muridae
Description: long non-coding RNA NONRATT030707
Source: RNAcentral
GGAGAGGAAAGUAGUGCAGCGCGGCGCCGCUCCGCCUCCCCCCUCCGCCUCCUGCUCGGCCGGUAGGGUGGUUCCUGCGAAGAGGCUUUUUCCUCGCCUGGGAUCUGGGCAGCGGUCGUAGAGACUCGUGGAGCGUCCGGCGCGAGAUCCAGGGGGGCCUUUUGCUUGAGGAACCCCACUCAAGAAGGGGAGAAAGGAGAAGAGGAGGCCCUAUUUUGUGUUGGAGCGGGGCGGCGGAGGGGUACAGCCCUCUUGGAGGAAAGGCUGUGACUCUGCAGUUCUACGCACACGCUGAGGGAUCCCUCCGCCGCAGAUUAACCCCGACUGCGCCAGGCUGGCCGCCGGGCAGACACGUGGGAAUAAAGCCCCCCUCUUCUUCACCCCGGCCCAGGAGCUGCCUCCUUUACCUUCUGGGUGGUAAAGCUGGGAUUCUGACCACUUUUUAAUUCUGUUCCCUAAAGUCACUGACCCUUGGAACUCCUUGCUUUGGCCGGGGACAAUCUUUGCCAAGGGGGGUUGGGGGGUGGAAAGAGCCUGGAGAUUGGCCGCAGCUCUGCAUCCUGGGAACUGGAGUCCGCAAAUGGAGAAAGUGAGGCACGGUGCCUGGCGCUGUAAAGGGUGGGUUCUUGCCACGUUUGGGGGCCGGAAGAAAGCUGGACGACUCUAAGGUCUUCUAACUCCAAGACCCUUUGGUGCAGAAGUAUUGUCGGUGUCCUCACGAUCCCCAACCAACCACUUCCCUACCAAAACAUCAAUGUAGUGUGUCCCCACCCCAUAUUUAAUUUUCCCGAAAAUCUUCUGAACCUGUCUUUUUUUUCUUCCUUAAACUAAGAUAAAUACUCUGCUACUUGGUUGGAAUAUUGUUAAUCUGGAUAAGACCCUCAAACUCCUGCACUCCAAGUCUGGGAGAUAGGAAGACUAGAAUUUCCUUUCUGCAUAGACUGUAUACAUGGAAUAAACAGGUUGAGAC